UACGGAGGGUGCGAGCGUUAAUCGGAAUUACUGGGCGUAAAGCGUGCGUAGGUGGUUCGCUAAGUCAGAUGUGAAAGCCCUGGGCUUAACCUGGGAAUUGCGUUUGAUACUGGCGAACUAGAGUUUGGUAGAGGGAAGUGGAAUUCCAGGUGUAGCGGUGAAAUGCGUAGAGAUCUGGAGGAACAUCAGUGGCGAAGGCGGCUUCCUGGACCAAAACUGACACUGAGGUACGAAAGCGUGGGUAGCAAACAGG
This 253-nucleotide ribosomal RNA is filed under the name uncultured bacterium. Its description in RNAcentral is "partial 16S ribosomal RNA". It matches the Rfam family "Bacterial small subunit ribosomal RNA", at positions 524 to 776 of the family's 1533-position model. The record is from RNAcentral.